RNAcentral lists this long non-coding RNA (675 nucleotides) under Cyanistes caeruleus (blue tit). RNAcentral's name for it is "lncRNA (ENSCCEG00000013910.1)". Lineage: Eukaryota; Metazoa; Chordata; Aves; Passeriformes; Paridae. The record is from RNAcentral.
AAUCUGGUCUUACCUGCUGCUCACUCCAACAGCAGUGAGGAAACGCUGGGGCUUGAGCUGCUCUUCCCCACGAGCUGAGCCUCCAAGAGACAGCGAGGGGCAGACGUGUGAGCCCACCCGGUGAGGGGACACAACUCGUGGGCUGCUGCACCGAGACCCGAGGGGCCAGGCAGAAGUGCAUCAGGAAGUGAGAAAGGAGAAGAGUCAAACUGCAGCAUGCCAGAUGUAGAAUCAGCCGUAGCGCGGUAGGGGACAGCUGUGAUUUGGAUGAAGAGCCCGCCCGGUUCUGUUCUGAUCCAAGCUGCUUUGGUGCCGGGAUCGAGACCUCUGCAGUGGGAGCACUCAGGGAGCAGCAAGCCGGCAUCCACGCUUGGCUCUUCUCCAGCAGCGAGGAAUUGUACUGACAGCUGGCAAUGAUCCUCCAUCACCUUAUCACCUCAUAACCACUGGAAAGAACUGCUGAGCUAGGGGCAGAAGCAGCCUCCACAUUACCAUCCCUUCCAGAUGACCACAGAGCCGCAAUCCAAAGCAGUGCCAGCCAAGAGAGAUAUUGCCCAUCUACCUCCCAGCUGCAGAUGACAGGAAUGACCUGCCCGUGGCUUCUCAGAGGGGAACAACAUCCCUCAGUGCUCUUCUUUGUGUCUCCUCAUCCCACCAACAGGCUCAGCCACCUCA